UACUAGGAGAGCUAGUUCUACUGCUAGGAGGACUGGAUUCACUAUCUACUAUUAGGAUGGCUUCAUCUGCUGUUGGGAGGGCUAUAGUUAGAGGUAGCAAGGUUGGAUCUGCUGCCGCAAAGAAAUUUGGAGUUUCAGCUAAUGAGAGGGUAAGAUUUUCUAUACUAGCAAGGGGUAGAUCUAUUGAUAGUGAAAGGGCUAGAUCUAGUUCAUCUACUAUAUGAUUUCAUUAUGUUGUAAAUAAUAUUGCAGUGGGUGUAAAUGAUAGGCAU
This 272-nucleotide long non-coding RNA is filed under the name Elaeis guineensis (African oil palm). Its description in RNAcentral is "long non-coding RNA (EGUI_LNC033140)". The record is from RNAcentral. Lineage: Eukaryota; Viridiplantae; Streptophyta; Magnoliopsida; Arecales; Arecaceae.